This is a long non-coding RNA of Asparagus officinalis (garden asparagus), 1608 nucleotides long. RefSeq lists it as uncharacterized. The record is from RefSeq and is a predicted model, not a curated record. The transcript is spliced from 10 exons. NCBI's taxonomy places the organism in Eukaryota, Viridiplantae, Streptophyta, Magnoliopsida, Asparagales, Asparagaceae.
ACCUCCGCCUUGCUGCAAAAUCCUUCACCACCGCUAGAGGCCUCCCCGCUUCCAACUCCAUCUCAUCGGUCAAAUCUCCAUCGCCUCCAAUUAACUCCAGUUCGCCGCCUCAACAGAAAUGUUGCCAUCUACAUUUAUGCUUCAAAGUUUGGAUCUUGCUGUUUCUCUAAAUGAGGAAGGUGAUCGAAGUUCACCAUAUCAUGUAUCCAAAUCUAUGAAUUUUCAGAAAAUUAGAAAAUAUGAAGACUUAGAUGAUUUGAUGAAUCCGUAUCAAAGAUGAAGAUUAUAAUUCCAAAUUUCCUGCAACUAUAAGUUUCUCUCUCAAAUGCUCAAAGAUAUUCCCUCCUUUCUCUUGCUUUGUUCUUCAAUUGUAAGAGUGAAAAUGAUGUUUGGCAUGGAAAAUUGGAUGUUGAAAUGCAUGGCACGCAAAUCAGUUCCCAAACCAUAUGAGUUUAAAACUUUUACCAAGGACAAAAAAAUUAUUGAAAUUUCAUCAAGUGACGAUGAAGACGAGCAGAAAAAGAUGUUAAAUAUGGGUCACUCAACCAACAAACAAGCAAUUGAUGGUCAUUGAGAACAAGUAUGAAGAUGAUGAAUAUGCACAAGAGUUUGCCAUCAAGGUCACCAAGUAGCUGCUCUAUGUUGCAGCGAGAGUCCUUCCUCCACCAAUGGUAGUUAUUUGAUCUGCAAUUGCUUUGUUGAAUAUCAAAGUGAAAAUAUUAAAUUGUCAUUUUUUUUUUCAUGUUCACCUCAACAUGAUUCUGGAAAAGAGAAGACAUGCAGUCCAAGAGUGGGCGCGUGGAAUAUUAUCAAUAAGGUGUAAUUUGUCAGUUCCUCUCUACAAAGGGUGAAACAGGACAAAUCAUAGUAAAAAAAUGCCGCCUCUAAUGGCAAAGUUGUAGGGUCUUAAUAAUGUGCUCACCGAGGAAGAUAUCUCCGCACUCCUAGCCGAGUCAAAUCUUAACACAAGCAAGGAGAUAGAUUUAGAGUCAUUUCUUCGGGCCAUUAGAUCCAUAUACCAACGGGCUAUUUGACCUUGCUAAGGAUGGAGUGCUCUUAUGACGAGAGGGCUAUCAACACAAAACAAGAGCUGAAUCCAUGGGAGAGGAAUGAGAAUCAUGCUCUUUGUUUGAACUCUGCGAAGGCUAUUGGGUGCACUGUUGUCAAUAUUGGAGAACAAGAUAUUGUCGAAGGGAGGCCUCAUUUGCUACUCGGGCUGAUAUCUCAAAUAAUCAAGGUACGUACAGAACUUGUUCUGUAUUCUUUACAUAUAAGAAGAUAAUAAAGGCCUGCAUAUUAGAAAGAGAUUUGGUGCAUUCAGCUGGAUCACAGCGAUAUUCUUUCAGUGAGGUUCAUAGUUUGGUUUUGGGUCAGGAUGAUGAGUUGAAUAUUCUUGUUUGUAUGCACAUUCUCGCUACUAACUUAUGGAUUUGUGGUAUCUUUAAGUUUCAUGGAUUUGAUCAGUUGGAAAAUGUGAAUACAGGUAUCACCCCUAUGUUUCAAAUACUAUGGCUUAUUGGAUGGGAUGAUGAAGGGUUAAAACAUUUUUCUUGCAAUGAUAGAGGGUGUGAGUGAUUAUUUUGGAUGUUCAACCAAAUUACAAAUAAA